This 509-nucleotide ribosomal RNA is filed under the name Bacillus haynesii. RNAcentral describes it as "bacterial LSU rRNA". It matches the Rfam family "Bacterial large subunit ribosomal RNA", at positions 2419 to 2925 of the family's 2925-position model. Lineage: Bacteria; Bacillati; Bacillota; Bacilli; Caryophanales; Bacillaceae. The record is from RNAcentral.
UCCGGUGGUUCCGCAUGGAAGGGCCAUCGCUCAACGGAUAAAAGCUACCCCGGGGAUAACAGGCUUAUCUCCCCCAAGAGUCCACAUCGACGGGGAGGUUUGGCACCUCGAUGUCGGCUCAUCGCAUCCUGGGGCUGUAGUCGGUCCCAAGGGUUGGGCUGUUCGCCCAUUAAAGCGGUACGCGAGCUGGGUUCAGAACGUCGUGAGACAGUUCGGUCCCUAUCCGUCGCGGGCGCAGGAAAUUUGAGAGGAGCUGUCCUUAGUACGAGAGGACCGGGAUGGACGCACCGCUGGUGUACCAGUUGUUCUGCCAAGGGCAUCGCUGGGUAGCUAUGUGCGGACGGGAUAAGUGCUGAAAGCAUCUAAGCAUGAAGCCCCCCUCAAGAUGAGAUUUCCCAUUCCGCAAGGAAGUAAGAUCCCUGAAAGAUGAUCAGGUUGAUAGGUCUGAGGUGGAAGUGUGGCGACACAUGGAGCUGACAGAUACUAAUCGAUCGAGGACUUAACCUAAA